Molecule: ribosomal RNA, 301 nt
Filed under: uncultured bacterium
Lineage: Bacteria
Description: partial 16S ribosomal RNA
Rfam family: Bacterial small subunit ribosomal RNA
Source: RNAcentral
CAGUAGCCGCGGUAAUUCGUAGGGGGCAAGCGUUAUCCGGGUUCAUUGGGCGUAAAGCGCUCGUAGGCGGUCUGUUAGGUCGGGAGUUAAAUCCGGAGGCUCAACCUCCGUUCGCUCCCGAUACCGGCAGACUUGAGUUUGGUAGGGGAAGGUGGAAUUCCUAGUGUAGCGGUGGAAUGCGCAGAUAUUAGGAAGAACACCAGUGGCGAAGGCGGCCUUCUGGGCCAUAACUGACGCUGAGGAGCGAAAGCUAGGGGAGCAAACAGGAUUAGAUACCCCAGUAGUCCCUGUCUCUUAUACA